This 432-nucleotide long non-coding RNA is filed under the name Mytilus galloprovincialis (Mediterranean mussel). Lineage: Eukaryota; Metazoa; Mollusca; Bivalvia; Mytilida; Mytilidae. The record is from RNAcentral.
UAAUCGUAAAUUACAUCAAUUUGAAACUGUGGAACGAUUCGGUAUUUAGAUUAUUCAUGUGCAUAUAUAUUGUUAUGUUUCACUAUCAUUGUUUCGUUUUGAUUUUAGUACAUACAUGUUUAGUAUUGAGGAUGACUGAUUUCUUUACGACCAUUUCAAACCAUGUAAUUAAAAUAGCUUUUAUUGUGUUUUACAAAAUAAGACUUGAAGUCAAUCAUUAGAUCGCGAUUUGUGCAUAUACUUUUAAAGUGUUAUAGCUAGGUUUUACCAAAGGCAAACAAAGUUCCCAAAACUUAAUAUCACUUGGGAUCGAAUGUUCGCUUUUCUAUGUUUCCUUAUGAUUUUUAAAAAGAAAAUAUCUUUUUUUUUAGGAUAAUCAACAUAGAUUUCAGAUAUGUAUUACUAUAUAUCUCAAUAUCAAAAAAGUGGAAU